RNAcentral lists this ribosomal RNA (756 nucleotides) under uncultured Enterobacteriaceae bacterium. Its description in RNAcentral is "bacterial SSU rRNA". It matches the Rfam family "Bacterial small subunit ribosomal RNA", at positions 28 to 775 of the family's 1533-position model. The record is from RNAcentral. Lineage: Bacteria; Pseudomonadati; Pseudomonadota; Gammaproteobacteria; Enterobacterales; Enterobacteriaceae.
AUUGAACGCUGGCGGCAGGCCUAACACAUGCAAGUCGAGCGGCAGCGGAAAGUAGCUUGCUACUUUGCCGGCGAGCGGCGGACGGGUGAGUAAUGUCUGGGAAACUGCCUGAUGGAGGGGGGUAACUACUGGAAACGGUAGCUAAUACCGCAUGACCUCGAAAGAGCAAAGUGGGGGAUCUUCGGACCUCACGCCAUCGGAUGUGCCCAGAUGGGAUUAGCUAGUAGGUGAGGUAAUGGCUCACCUAGGCGACGAUCCCUAGCUGGUCUGAGAGGAUGACCAGCCACACUGGAACUGAGACACGGUCCAGACUCCUACGGGAGGCAGCAGUGGGGAAUAUUGCACAAUGGGCGCAAGCCUGAUGCAGCCAUGCCGCGUGUGUGAAGAAGGCCUUAGGGUUGUAAAGCACUUUCAGCGAGGAGGAAGGCAUCAUACUUAAUACGUGUGGUGAUUGACGUUACUCGCAGAAGAAGCACCGGCUAACUCCGUGCCAGCAGCCGCGGUAAUACGGAGGGUGCAAGCGUUAAUCGGAAUUACUGGGCGUAAAGCGCACGCAGGCGGUUUGUUAAGUCAGAUGUGAAAUCCCCGCGCUUAACGUGGGAACUGCAUUUGAAACUGGCAAGCUAGAGUCUUGGAGAGGAGAGUGGAAUUCCAUGUGUAGCGGUGAAAUGCGUAGAUAUAUGGAGGAACAUCCGUGGCGAAAAGCGGCUCUCUGGCUGUACUGACACUGAGCUCGAAAGCGUGGGGAGCAACAGG